Molecule: ribosomal RNA, 435 nt
Filed under: uncultured bacterium
Lineage: Bacteria
Description: bacterial SSU rRNA
Rfam family: Bacterial small subunit ribosomal RNA
Source: RNAcentral
AACGAACGCUGGCGGCGUGCUUAACACAUGCAAGUCGAACGAUGAAGGGGAGCUUGCUCCCUGGAUUAGUGGCGAACGGGUGAGUAACACGUGAGCAACCUGCCCCUAACUCUGGGAUAACGCUUCGAAAGGAGUGCUAAUACCGGAUAUGAGCCUGGAAGACAUCUUCUGGGUUGGAAAGUUUUUCGGUUAGGGAUGGGCUCGCGGCCUAUCAGCUUGUUGGUGAGGUAAAGGCUCACCAAGGCGACGACGGGUAUCCGGCCUGAGAGGGCGACCGGACACACUGGGACUGAGACACGGCCCAGACUCCUACGGGAGGCAGCAGUGGGGAAUAUUGCGCAAUGGGCGAAAGCCUGACGCAGCGACGCCGCGUGAGGGAUGAAGGUCUUCGGAUGUAAACCUCUUCUAGCAGGACGAAGCGAAAGUGACGGUACC